AUGCAUGUGCCCCUUUCUGUCAUGGAAAUAAGAGCUGUGACAAAGCCUGACAGAGCCCAGGAGCUGGUCCCAACCUCUCGUCCCAGCCUCAUGCCCUCCAUCAGAAAACUCCUGUCAGGAAGCUUCAUACACUUUGGGUCAGACGCUCUUUCCCUGAAGAGGAGAAGAAUAUUUAUAGCCAGGAAGGGCUGUAAUGGGGAGAUCUCUAGGCUGCUCUACCUGUCAGAUAAGGUUUCUUAUGGACCCGAUGGUAACAGCCCACGUGCAGUCUGCUACAACAGAAGAGAAGGUGGGGUCUGGGUUUGGGGCACCAGGGCGUUCCCAGCCCAGGUAAUUUGGCUGAGGUCCUGGAAAGUGGAGGAACUGGCAGAGCUAAUGACUUUGGAAGUGCCUUGGGACCCUAUGCUAGUGCAGAAAAGGCUUAGGAAAUAUUCGGCAAGUUCAUUUAGGCUCCUUUCACGCUUCUCAAAUCUUGAAGCUUCCUUAUUGCUGCUUUAUGUCAAUAUGACACUGCUUGAUUUCACCGUUGCUCUUGAUUUUGCUGCGAUGGCGUUGCAGCGUUUGGUCCCGCGCCGAUCCCAUCUGCAACGUCUCACAUAAUCUGCGUGGGGUUUCGGGCAAUUGGAUUAAAGCUGCGAAAUUCAGAUGGCCCCACUGGGGUGUAGGAAGCUCGGGCUGGGCUGACGUUACCUAUGUGCAGAGCCACAGGCAGAGUAUCGUGUCAGUGAGGAGAUGCUGUGAUUAGUCAUGAGCGUGGUGUGUUUCCUUCUAGAAAAUUGCUACUGGAGAGCGAGAAUAGACUGGUCUCCUUAAGCUUCUACACGUUAACUAAUCAAUGCAUCUUCAGCUGGAAGGAUCCCUCCCAUUAGAGG
RNAcentral lists this long non-coding RNA (872 nucleotides) under Numida meleagris (helmeted guineafowl). RNAcentral's name for it is "lncRNA (ENSNMEG00000016565.1)". The record is from RNAcentral. Lineage: Eukaryota; Metazoa; Chordata; Aves; Galliformes; Numididae.